AUGAGUGGCGUGUGGGUGUUUGAGGGCGGGAUGGUGAGGCGGGCGGACAGCGAGGCGCCGGGCGCGGGCGGGGCGGCGCGGCCGGGCAAGGUGCUGGUGCAUGUGCCGAGCGGCGAGGUGGUGACCUCGUACGAGGGUCUGGAGCGGCGGCUGCGGGAGCUGGGGUGGGAGCGCUACCUCAACGACCCCUGCCUCCUCCAGUUCCACCAGCGCUCCACCGUGCACCUCAUCUCCGUCCCGCGCGACUUCACCCGCCUCAAGCUCGUCCACAUGCACGACGUCGUCGUCAAGACCCGCAACGUCUUCCAGGUCCGCGACGCCUGA
This 324-nucleotide ribosomal RNA is filed under the name Triticum aestivum (bread wheat). RNAcentral describes it as "partial small subunit ribosomal RNA". Lineage: Eukaryota; Viridiplantae; Streptophyta; Magnoliopsida; Poales; Poaceae. The record is from RNAcentral.